GGAUUAGGCAUGCAAGUGUACGUGAUCCUCGUUCGGUGAGGUGAAAGUGGCGAACGGGUGAGUAAUGCAUAGCUAACCUCCCUUGGUACGGGGAUAACCAGGAGAAAUCUUGGCUAAUACCCGAUAGGCUCGCGGGGUUGCAUGGCCCUGCGAUUAAAGAAGGCCUCUUAGCAAUGCUUUCGACCGAGGACGGGACUAUGUCCUAUCAGCUAGUUGGUAGGGUAAUGGCCUACCAAGGCAAUGACGGGUAGCCGACCUGAGAGGGUGACCGGCCACACUGGGACUGAGACACUGCCCAGACUCCUACGGGAGGCUGCAGUCGAGAAUCUUCUUCCAAUGGGGGAAACCCUGACGGAGCGACGCCGCGUGCGGGAUGAAGGCGUUCGGGUUGUAAACCACUGUCACGCUUAAGAAGGGUCAGGCGUUAAAAGCUCUUGGCUUUGACAAAGCAGCGGGAGGAAGCCACGGCUAACUCUGUGCCAGCAGCCGCGGUAAGACAGAGGUGGCGACCGUUGUUCGGAAUCCCUGGGCAUAAAGCGCGCGUAGGCGGCAUGGUAAGUCGGGUGUGAAAUCCCUCGGCCCAACCGAGGAAUUGCG
Molecule: ribosomal RNA, 597 nt
Filed under: uncultured bacterium
Lineage: Bacteria
Description: bacterial SSU rRNA
Rfam family: Bacterial small subunit ribosomal RNA
Source: RNAcentral